Molecule: long non-coding RNA, 1272 nt
Filed under: Sander lucioperca (pikeperch)
Lineage: Eukaryota; Metazoa; Chordata; Actinopteri; Perciformes; Percidae
Description: lncRNA (ENSSLUG00000008452.1)
Source: RNAcentral
CUGAGAGGUUCAGUAGAUAGACACAGAGGAAAAGAAAAAGGAAAGACAGAAAGCACCUGCUCCCUAUUUAUUUCUUGGUACAUGUCUUGUUCUUUACUGCUUCUUCCUCUCAUUCAUCUAUUCUUUCCUUCCUCUUCUUCUGUGCUUUUACAGACUCAGGUGAGAGAUGGGAUGUGGAAAUUCCUCACAAGCCACCAACAGCAGCAGCAGCAGCACUGGAGGUCGUGUUGAGUCUUCAUCAAAGGUAUCAGAAGAGUCUGUGCCAGGAGAUGACAAAUGGCAGAACUAUGGAGGUGUGUAUGUGGGUUUUCCUGCAGACCUGAGCAACAUUCCUCAAGUACAGUUAGGAUCACUCAGAGAGCAUGAGAGAGACUUGUUGUCCCUCAGGAGGCCGCUGUGGGGGGACGGACUCUGAUUUUAAUGAAGAGCCAAGGUGCAACAGACGAAUGAUACAGAAGAAAGAAAGAAGAAGAAAGUGUUUGUCAUCAGGAACUUACCAAGUCUCGAAUGGGAAACAGCAGCACCCGGCGAGCUAAUCUUCUCUCCCAGCGUCCUCUGUGAGGACUUUAAUGGGAUCAGCUCCAUCUGGAUAAACUGGCUGUGGAGCCUGUUGUGUCAAACAAACUGGCUAAAGAUGUUUGUGAUUUUAUGGGAGCAGAUGUCAACCUGAACUCUUAAAAAACAGUGAUAGUUUGCAUUGCAGGUGCAGGUUUUUUAAUGGAAGCUGUGGUAGCUCUCCUUGUUGAGAGUAAGUACAGUAGUAUUAAUUUAAGCUCCGAAUAUCUUGUGCGAUUACAUGUAAAAUAUAUUGAAGGAAAGGUCCUGUGAUAUUCAGUCAAUAAAACCCAUAAAAAGACCAAAACCAACAACUGUCAGUGUGUAUCCAAGGCCUGAUUUAUCUUCUUCCUCUGUAUCAUAGAGCUCCAUUGUUGUCUAAAAACUAUUAAACACACAUCAGUGAGCCACACUGUUGCACUGGGUGACAAGUGCCUUCAUCACCAUGAACACAUAUACUGUAUUUAUUUUUUCCAAAUACUGGCUGCCACAAAUACCAAAUGUGGAUUAAUUUGCCGCUGAAAAUAGUACCCAACAAAUGCACUAUUUUCCUUCUUUGUUUGAUAAAAGUUAAAUGACCAGCUGGGUCAGAAAAAAACUAAAUAAAAAAAGGCUAAAUCAUGCCUUUUUUUAUUUAGUUUUUUAAAUAAAACUUUAUACUUGUGAACAGUUUUUUUAAAUAUUCAGUAGUGAAGUAGCUUGGAGCUGAGAUCUACA